This is a long non-coding RNA of Salvia splendens (bonfire salvia), 2613 nucleotides long. RefSeq lists it as uncharacterized. Lineage: Eukaryota; Viridiplantae; Streptophyta; Magnoliopsida; Lamiales; Lamiaceae. The transcript is spliced from 2 exons. The record is from RefSeq and is a predicted model, not a curated record.
AAAGAAUAUUUUACGACAACUCAGGCUAAUGUUCCACGCGAGUCGACAGCAGCAGAUAGAUAGUAUGGCUCGCAGUCAAAAUUCCGGCAGUGGAGAGCGGAGGCGCAAGUAAGGCUGAUUUAUCAUCAGCAACUUUAGCUUCCGGAAUGACCAACUCCAAUGCCCUAGCCGCCCUUAUCCUUCUUCCUUUAUCUCUCCUCCUUCACACUUACCUCUCUCUCUCUCUCUCAAUUGCUCACUUCUUUUUUUCAGGGCUGGGUGCGAUUGCGUAAGUUUAUUGAUCCCUUAUUCGCCUUAAUUUGAAUAAACUGAUAAUGCGAUGAAUUUAUGAAGUAAAGAUUGUAUCUUUUAUAGAUUCAGUUCAAGAUUCCAUCCAAUUGGGAGAGAAUGAUGUUGUAUUGAGGCUUUUGGUUUUGCAUAUCUCUGUUUUAAGAUCACAUUGUGUGUUAUUUCUUGAUGUGGAUUGAGAUUCUAGUCUUGGGUUUUAUUCAAUUUUGAUUAAGUUGGAUUUGGGGGAAAAUCUUGAUUUGUGUUUAUUUGUUUUGUUUUAUAAUAACAAUGUAGUUGUUUGGUUCAGCUGACUGGAUACACUGUAAUCAGUUACAAUUCUGCUGAAUUUUCAUCAGCCAUGCUUAAUCUCAUUCCCGGAUUUACCUUCAUGCUUGCUGUCGUUUUCAGGCUCUUGAUUAUGCCAAAUGUCGUGCUUAAAUCGAUCAGUGGCUUCUCUUUCAUGAGAAGGAAAUGACAAUUGCUUAAACUUUGAUUGUGCUGUGUUCCGAAUGUCACUGCUAAACUGUAGGAAUUCAAGUUUUCUUCCAAAAACAUUAGGAACUUUGGUCUUCAUUUAUGGAGCCUUUGUUGCCACUCUCUACAAAUGCCCCGAGAGCCUGACUAAUCUGUUGUCUCCUAAGUUGCAUUAGGAGUAUACUGGUGUAGUAGCAGUCAAGUUGGAUUUUUGGAGGGUUAUUCCUUGCUGCAAACUGUGUCGUUGCUUCAGCCUACAUAAUUGGACAGAUAACUCCACUUAGAGAAAUGAAGAGAAACCAGACAAGUUAGGAAUGUAAUCUUUCAUAUUGAUAUUCCUUUUGCAAGUGUUGUUGAUUCUCUAGAAAUACCUAGCCGAGCUGGUUAUAGUAUUCUUUUACUGCUUCUCUGCUGCCAUUCUGUCCACAUUCGUAUCUGUGAUUUCUGAUUGAGACCUUAGUGUUUGGUCAUUGCAACCUAAUACCCGACUGAUUGUUUUUCUGUAUUUGGUAGGUGAUAGACCAGCUGUUUCAUAUCUAAACUCACAAUUGAUACUGAACUUCUAUUUCAAUGCUAGACAAUGGUUGGAUCAAUACCAGUUUGUUACGUUGAAAACAAUGUUUGGAAAAUCACCUUACCCAUAUUUGGCUGUAUAAUUUGCACAACUUCUCUUCUUCAAAGGGAGUAAAUGGUUCUGCAUUCCAAGUUAGUGUAACUGCAUGGUGCCUGCACAAAAAAGGUCCCCUUUUCGUUGCAAUAUUUCAUCCGUUGGGGAUCAUGAUAUCUGCUGUGCUUGGUAUUAUCUUCUUGAGCUAUAUUCUGUAUCUUGGAAGGUUGGGUGCGUUCACUUAGUUUGAAGUUAUUCAACUAAAAUGACUUAUUGCUAUCACUAAUUAUGUCAUAGCCAAGACUAAAAUUUUUAGUAUGCACAAAAACUAGGAUUCUUUUAUAGUUGUUAGUAUUUGUUUUUUGUUCAUAGAUUUAAAUUUUCUGCAGUUUGUUAGGGUCAAUUAUCAUUGUUAUCGCGUUCUACUCAGUGCUGUGGGGAAAGGCAAAAGAAGUUAAGGUGAUUGAGAACAGCAACAAUGAUUUUCUGCAACCAUUAGUGAGAAUGCUCCUCUGUUGCCAAUUAAGGAUGAGCAGACCGUGUCGUUAGACAGAGCAUGACGCCAUUCACUUGCUAAUAUAAGGAGGAUACAAUAUGGUUAAAAUAUAUGAAGAAGUUUAGAUUCAAAGUUUGGCCUCUGGAAAUUGGAUUUGAAGAUGAAGUUGUUCUUUUAGGCACCACGGAAGCCACAUCCAUUUUCUGGCCUUUCUUGUAGAGGUCAACAGUCCAAUGGUGGAGAGGGUCGACGUCUCUUUGAAGGAGGAGACAUGUUUGACAAGUAUCUUCCUUCCUAUCCUUUCACACACAUGAAGUGUACAUGCCUCAUCAUCCUAUACUAUAUGUUUUUUUCUUGUACAUUGUCAAAUCUCACUCAUUCUUUCUCUUGAUUAUCCGUUGAGACUCGUGCAUGAACUGCAUCCUCUUUUAUACAAUAUGACUAUUUUUGGUGAAUAACUGACCAGUCUUGGCUGCAGGUGGAAGAAGUCAGAAUAGUGAGGCAUUGUCUAAACAUGGGAGGCAUGACCUUCAAAUUCUUAGUUUUGAAUGGAUUCAAAUGUUGUAUAAUAUUCUUAUUUUGUAAAAGACAGCACAGAAACUACAGCUGAAUUUUACACAUGCAUAUGUUAUUACUUUCAAGACUACCUAUGACUGUUAAAAUUAAGCAUUGUUGGUGAUGAGAAGUUUUAUCACUUCAAAUGUGUGUAAUGAUUGGAUUUUCCAUCCUCUGAAAUAUAUGUAUUGUUAUAUAUUACCUGGGGCAA